GGAGAGGUGGCCGAGCUGGCUGAAGGCGCUCCCCUGCUAAGGGAGUAUAGGGUAACCCCCUAUCGUGGGUUCGAAUCCCACCCUCUCCG
This 89-nucleotide transfer RNA is filed under the name Calditrichota bacterium. Its description in RNAcentral is "Calditrichaeota bacterium tRNA-Ser". It matches the Rfam family "tRNA". Rfam says of the family: Transfer RNA (tRNA) molecules are approximately 80 nucleotides in length. Lineage: Bacteria; Pseudomonadati; Calditrichota. The record is from RNAcentral.